AGCGAACGCUGGCGGCAGGCCUAACACAUGCAAGUCGAGCGCGUGUCGCAAGACACGAGCGGCAGACGGGAGAGUAACACGUGGGAACGUACCCUUUGGUUCGGAACAACCCAGGGAAACUUGGGCUAAUACCGAAUAAGCCCUUACGGGGAAAGAUUUAUCGCCGAAGGAUCGGCCCGCGUCUGAUUAGCUAGUUGGUGGGGUAACGGCCCACCAAGGCGACGAUCAGUAGCUGGUCUGAGAGGAUGAUCAGCCUCACUGGGACUGAGACACGGCCCAGACUCCUACGGGAGGCAGCAGUGGGGAAUAUUGGACAAUGGGCGCAAGCCUGAUCCAGCCAUGCCGCGUGGGUGAUGAAGGCCCUAGGGUUGUAAAGCCCUUUCGGCGGGGAAGAUAAUGACGGUACCCGCAGAAGAAGCCCCGGCUAACUUCGUGCCAGCCGCCGCUGUAAC
RNAcentral lists this ribosomal RNA (452 nucleotides) under uncultured bacterium. RNAcentral's name for it is "bacterial SSU rRNA". It matches the Rfam family "Bacterial small subunit ribosomal RNA", at positions 29 to 524 of the family's 1533-position model. The record is from RNAcentral.